RNAcentral lists this non-coding RNA (959 nucleotides) under Thyrsites atun (snoek). RNAcentral's name for it is "12S ribosomal RNA". It matches the Rfam family "Bacterial small subunit ribosomal RNA". The record is from RNAcentral. Lineage: Eukaryota; Metazoa; Chordata; Actinopteri; Scombriformes; Gempylidae.
AAAGGUUUGGUCCUGACUUUACUAUCGACUCUAGCUAGAUUUACACAUGCGAGUAUCCGCACCCCUGUGAGAAUGCCCCACAGUCCUCUGCCAGAAGACAAGGAGCUGGUAUCAGGCACCACCCCGAACUUACACGCCCACGACACCUUGCUUAGCCACACCCCCAAGGGAAAUUCAGCAGUGAUAAACCUUAAGCCAUAAGUGAAAACUUGACUUAGUUAAAGCUAAAAGGGCCGGUAAAUCUCGUGCCAGCCACCGCGGUUAUACGAGAGACCCUAGUUGAUAGAAAUCGGCGUAAAGAGUGGUUAAGGUAAAAUCUACACUAAAGGCCAAUACUUUCAGAGCAGUUAUAAGCAUCUGACGUAUAAUCUAAUCCCAACCACGAAAGUGACUUUAUUCACCCCGAUUCCACGAAAGCUAAGAUACAAACUGGGAUUAGAUACCCCACUAUGCUUAGUCGUAAAAAUUGAUAGGAAAAUUCACCCCCCUAUUCCGCCUGAGUACUACGAGCACCAGCUUAAAACUCAAAGGACUUGGCGGUACUUUAGACCCCCCUAGAGGAGCCUGUUCUGUAACCGAUAAUCCCCGUUAGACCUCACCCUCCCUUGUUCACCCCGCCUAUAUACCGCCGUCAUCAGCUUACCCUGUGAGGGAUCCAUAGUAAGCAAAAUUGGUACAACCCAGAAUGUCAGGUCCAGGUGUAGCGCAUGGGAGGGGAAGAAAUGGGCUACAUUCGCUAAUUUAGCGAACACGAACGACGUAAUGAAAAAAACAUCCGAAGGAGGAUUUAGCAGUAAGUGGAAAACAGAGUGUUCCACUGAAGUCGGCUCUAAAGUGUGCACACACCGCCCGUCACUCUCCCCAGCAACCUGAAACACAAUAACUAAUUAACACCUAGACCGCAACGGGGAGACAAGUCGUAACAUGGUAAGUGUACCGGAAGGUGUACUUGGACAAAU